Molecule: long non-coding RNA, 2511 nt
Organism: Hemicordylus capensis (graceful crag lizard)
Lineage: Eukaryota; Metazoa; Chordata; Lepidosauria; Squamata; Cordylidae
Exons: 3
Source: RefSeq, a predicted model, not a curated record
GCCCUGCAGGACAGAGCUUCCCGCCACACCCCACCGACUGGGGUGGGGUAGAGAAGCACAGGGGAGGGGGGUGGGCUUUAAAGGGCUGAGGCUUGACGCCUGCUGUAAUGCGGGCGAAGCUCGGCAAAGGCAAGACGCGGAAAGGGAAGGCUGUCUUGUAGGAUCCUGUUUUGUUUUUCUUCCCAAAGGAUGUUUGAGAUUUCGUAUCCUGGUUCCACUGCAUUUGGCAUAACCCCAAGACUUGAAUUCCUUUCCUCAUUUGGCAGAGGGACAAAGUUUUUCUGAGUGUGGCUAUUAUUACUUGGAUGAAACCACUCUUCCCACCCACUGCCUAAGGAAGGGAGCAUUCUUUAACUCCUCCCCUCUGUCUCCCAACCCUUGUACCAGUGCUAAUCGUAGUCCUCACUGGUACAGAGGAUGGAAGGGAGAGUGGUGCAGAGAUAUAGGACUGUUCGGUCUCUCCACCCCAACUCUGAGGACGUCUAAACCGGCGACAGAAGCAACCUGCUACACCCUCUUCCUCUCCACCAAUGUUCAAAGCCGAUUGCGUGUUCUGUUCUGCUCAGUGAUAUCCACUGUUUCUUCUGCUUGCCUAGCCUGGGCUCUUUCCAGUUUUGGUGGAGGAAAAUCUUCUCUCUGUAUCGGUUAGCAAAAUAAAUUUUUUUCCUUCUGACUCAACAAGAUUUCAAGGACUCUGAUUGUUGGCAGUGCACAGAAACCGGUUUGGGGUUAACCCAGGGGUUCUCAAACUCGGGUUCCAGAUGUGAUUGGACUACAACUCCCAGCAUCCCCUGCUGCAAUAGCCAAAGGCUGCAGUGGCCGAGAGUGAUUGCAGCUGGGGAUGAUGGGAGAGGAUAGUGACCAACAACAUCUGAGGACGCAGGUUUGAGAACCUCUGGAAAGAGGUUGGGCUGCAAUGUGGAAUUGAGCAGGGCAUGGGGUCAGAAUGGUCAGAAUUGGCAUGGGGGCAAUGAGUGGUGGGGGAGAGAGAACCAGAGCUGGUCUUGCAGUAGCAAGCAUGACUUGUCCCCUUAGCUAAGCAGAGCCUGCCCUGGUUGCAUAUGAAAGGGAGACUAGAAGUGUGAGCACUGUAAGAGAUUCCCCUCAAGGGAUGGAGCCGCUCUGGGAAGAGCAUCUAGGUUCCAAGUUCCCUCCCUGGCAUCUCCAAGAUAAGGUUGAGAGAGAUUCCUGCCUGCAACCUUGGAGAAGCCGCUGCCAGUCUGUGAAGACAAUGCUGAGCUAGAUAGACCAGGUCUGACUCAGUAUAUGGCAGCUUCCUGCAUUCCUAUGUGCUAAAGUCAUUAAUAUGUGGGAGGUGGGGCAGACAGAAAACUAGAAGAAUGGGAAGAGGGGUUGUCAGCGAGAGAGGGCAGUUGGAGAAAGGGUAGAGCAGAGGUAAAGAGUUAGUUGAGAAAAAUGACGGAGGACACAAUCAAAGUUUAUAAAAUUCUCCCUGGUGUGGAAAAAGCAUCUCUCCUAAUCCUAGAACUCUGGGUCUCCUAAUGACAUUGGUGGUAGAGUGAUGACAAAGUUCUUCACACAAUGCCUAAUUGAUCUGUGGAAUUCACUGCCACAAGAUGAGGGGAUGGCCACUGGCUUAAAAGUAGACCAGACAAACUUAUUCUCUGCUGAAUUUUUUCAGUAGCUAUUAGCGGUUCUAGAGAAACAGAGCCUCCUCUUUCAGAGGCAGUGUACCACUGAAUGCCCGCUGCAUGGGGACAGCCUGUUGCCUUCACACUUUGCUUGUGAGCUUUCUGGAUGUUUUGCUGCUGUGGAUUUGCUGCUAGACUAGAUGGCUCUCAGGGCUGAUCCAGCAGGGUUCUUAUAUUCAGUGUUCCAAAACAAAGGAAUUUGUGGAGCUCCUUGGGAUUCCGCAUAAAGACCUCUGGGACCAUUGACCUUUGGGGGAAAUUGUGGGAGGGGGAAACUGCCAGUGGCUGUCCCAAAGAUGCUUGUGCCCCAUGUGCCCUUGUCCCAUUUUGCCUCUUGAUUUCCCCAUUUUAAAGCAUGACAAUUAAAUGUUGUUGGGAGGGGACCUCGGAGGACUUCUAGACCAACCCUUUGCUCAGUGCAGGAAACUGCUACAGCCUCUCUGACCAGGUGGCCAUCCAGCCUCUGUCUGAAAACCUCCAGUAAAGGAAAGCCUGCUACUGCACAAGACAAUUUUGGUUUUUAUUUUAAUUGUUGCAUUUCUAUCCUGCUCUUCCUCGAAGGAGCCCGGAGCGGUGUACAUGGUUAAGUUUAUCCUCACAACAACCCUGUGAGGUAGGUUAGGUAAAGACCUUCUUGUUCACUUGGGCCUUUUACAAUUUUAAUUUAAUUUUUUUAAAAAUUGUGAUCUGACUGUAACUGGUUUUUAAAAUUGUUUUUGUCUUGUAUUUUGUACCCUCACAUUUUUUGCUCUCUUAUGAUUUAAUGUAUGAUUUUAUCUCAUGUUUUAAUGUUGUGUUGUAAGCCACCCAGAGAAAAACUUGUUAUAGGGUGGCUAACAAAUAAAGUUUAUUACUAUUA